AACGUAGGAGGCAAGCGUUAUCCGGAUUCACUGGGCGUAAAGCGCGUGCAGGCGGUUCGGUAAGUUGGGCGUGAAAUCUCCUGGCUCAACUGGGAGAGGUCGUCCAAUACUACCGGGCUAGAGAGCAGUAGAGGAAGAUGGAAUUCCCGGUGUAGUGGUGAAAUGCGUAGAUAUCGGGAGGAACACCAGUGGCGAAGGCGGUCUUCUGGACUGUUUCUGACGCUCAGACGCGAAAGCUAGGGGAGCAAACGCG
Molecule: ribosomal RNA, 253 nt
Filed under: uncultured bacterium
Lineage: Bacteria
Description: partial 16S ribosomal RNA
Rfam family: Bacterial small subunit ribosomal RNA
Source: RNAcentral